GGUGAACGCUGGCGGCGUGCCUAAUACAUGCAAGUCGAGCGAACGGACGAGAAGCUUGCUUCUCUGAUGUUAGCGGCGGACGGGUGAGUAACACGUGGAUAACCUACCUAUAAGACUGGGAUAACUUCGGGAAACCGGAGCUAAUACCGGAUAAUAUUUUGAACCGCAUGGUUCAAAAGUGAAAGACGGUCUUGCUGUCACUUAUAGAUGGAUCCGCGCUGCAUUAGCUAGUUGGUAAGGUAACGGCUUACCAAGGCAACGAUGCAUAGCCGACCUGAGAGGGUGAUCGGCCACACUGGAACUGAGACACGGUCCAGACUCCUACGGGAGGCAGCAGUAGGGAAUCUUCCGCAAUGGGCGAAAGCCUGACGGAGCAACGCCGCGGGAGUGAUGAAGGUCUUCGGAUCGUAAAACUCUGUUAUUAGGGAAGAACAUAUGUGUAAGUAACUGUGCACAUCUUGACGGUACCUAAGCAGAAAGCCACGGCUAACUACGG
RNAcentral lists this ribosomal RNA (496 nucleotides) under uncultured bacterium. Its description in RNAcentral is "partial 16S ribosomal RNA". It matches the Rfam family "Bacterial small subunit ribosomal RNA", at positions 28 to 506 of the family's 1533-position model. The record is from RNAcentral.